UAGUCGUAAGACAAAUGUGAAGGUGCUGCAUGGUUGUCGUCAGCUCGUGCCGUGAGGUGUCGGCUUAAGUGCCAUAACGAGCGCAACCCUUAUCUUUAGUUACUAACAGGUCAUGCUGAGGACUCUAGAGAGACUGCCGUCGUAAGAUGUGAGGAAGGUGGGGAUGACGUCAAAUCAGCACGGCCCUUACGUCCGGGGCUACACACGUGUUACAAUGGGGGGUACAGAAGGCAGCUACCUGGUGACAGGAUGCUAAUCCCAAAAGCCUCUCUCAGUUCGGAUCGAAGUCUGCAACCCGACUUCGUGAAGCUGGAUUCGCUAGUAAUCGCGCAUCAGCCAUGGCGCGGUGAAUACGUUCCCGGGCCUUGUACACACCGCCCGUCAAGCCAUGAAAGCCGGGGGUACCUGAAGUACGUAACCGCAAGGAGCGUCCUAGGGUAAAACUGGUAAUUGGGGCUAAGUCGUAACAAGGUAGCCGUACCGGAAGGUGCGGCUGGAACACCUCCUUUCUGGAGC
RNAcentral lists this ribosomal RNA (516 nucleotides) under Bacteroides sp. HMSC067B03. RNAcentral's name for it is "bacterial SSU rRNA". It matches the Rfam family "Bacterial small subunit ribosomal RNA", at positions 1014 to 1533 of the family's 1533-position model. Lineage: Bacteria; Pseudomonadati; Bacteroidota; Bacteroidia; Bacteroidales; Bacteroidaceae. The record is from RNAcentral.